GUCUAUGGCCAUACCACCCUGAACGCGCCCGAUCUCGUCUGAUCUCGGAAUCUAAGCAGGGUCGGCCUGGUUAGUACUUGGAUGGGAGUAAUGAACACUGGAACCCACAACUGAACAGUGUGGCGUUAGAGACU
This is a ribosomal RNA of Mesocricetus auratus (golden hamster), 134 nucleotides long. The record is from Ensembl. NCBI's taxonomy places the organism in Eukaryota, Metazoa, Chordata, Mammalia, Rodentia, Cricetidae.